This is a small nuclear RNA of Herpailurus yagouaroundi (jaguarundi), 190 nucleotides long. RefSeq annotates it as U2 spliceosomal RNA. The transcript has a single exon. The record is from RefSeq and is a predicted model, not a curated record. Lineage: Eukaryota; Metazoa; Chordata; Mammalia; Carnivora; Felidae.
AUUGCUUCUUGGCCUUUUGGCUAAAUCAUGUGUAGUAUUUGUUCUUAUUAGUUUAGUAUCUGAUAUGUCCUCUAUUUAAAGAUAAUAUAUUAAAUAGAUUUUUGGAGGAGGGAGGGGGCAUAGUAGUUGCUCCGUCCAUUCCUGUGCAUUGAUCUGUUAUUGCAGUACUUCCAGGAAUGGUGCACCUCUA